UGAAUUUUUUAGCAAACCUGUCAAAAGGCAGGGACGCAAAGCCACGGAUCUAAGCGUAAAUCGUAUGAUAGCCGGGUUGCAAGG
RNAcentral lists this non-coding RNA (84 nucleotides) under Christensenella hongkongensis. Its description in RNAcentral is "Catabacter hongkongensis c-di-GMP sequence". It matches the Rfam family "c-di-GMP-I riboswitch aptamer". Rfam says of the family: GEMM was predicted in a large-scale screen for bacterial structured RNA regulatory elements. Genes associated with GEMM are involved in a diverse array of functions, including chemotaxis regulation, signal transduction, secretion and chitin. Lineage: Bacteria; Bacillati; Bacillota; Clostridia; Christensenellales; Christensenellaceae. The record is from Rfam by way of RNAcentral.